UGUAUGGAUUAGUGGCGGACGGGUGAGUAACGCGUGGAUAACCUGCCGUAUACAGGGGGAUAACACUUAGAAAUAGGUGCUAAUACCGCAUAAGCGCACGGUUCCGCAUGGAACAGUGUGAAAAACUCCGGUGGUAUACGAUGGAUCCGCGUCUGAUUAGCCAGUUGGCGGGGUAACGGCCCACCAAAGCGACGAUCAGUAGCCGGCCUGAGAGGGUGAACGGCCACAUUGGGACUGAGACACGGCCCAAACUCCUACGGGAGGCAGCAGUGGGGAAUAUUGCACAAUGGGGGAAACCCUGAUGCAGCGACGCCGCGUGAGUGAAGAAGUAUCUCGGUAUGUAAAGCUCUAUCAGCAGGGAAGAAAAUGACGGUACCUGACUAAGAAGCCCCGGCUAACUACGUGCCAGCAGCCGCGGUAAUACGUAGGGGGCAAGCGUUAUCCGGAUUUACUGGGUGUAAAGGGAGCGUAGACGGCAGCGCAAGUCUGGAGUGAAAUGCCGGGGCCCAACCCCGGAACUGCUUUGGAAACUGUGCAGCUCGAGUGCAGGAGAGGUAAGCGGAAUUCCUAGUGUAGCGGUGAAAUGCGUAGAUAUUAGGAGGAACACCAGUGGCGAAGGCGGCUUACUGGACUGUAACUGACGUUGAGGCUCGAAAGCGUGGGGAGCAAACAGGAUUAGAUACCCUGGUAGUCCACGCCGUAAACGAUGAUUACUAGGUGUCGGGGGGCCAAGGCCCUCCGGUGCCGCCGCAAACGCAUUAAGUAAUCCACCUGGGGAGUACGUUCGCAAGAA
RNAcentral lists this ribosomal RNA (793 nucleotides) under uncultured bacterium. Its description in RNAcentral is "bacterial SSU rRNA". It matches the Rfam family "Bacterial small subunit ribosomal RNA", at positions 84 to 894 of the family's 1533-position model. The record is from RNAcentral.